CUAUAUUCUGCUGCCACACUUACUUCACAAACAUAUUUCUGCAGUUUCUUUUUUCUUUUCUUUAUCCAGAUAGCCAACUUGUUUUGUACUUUGAUACCUUAGAUGCAAUGCUUCUGGAAUUGGAGAAAGAAAAGAGCCCCAGAGUCUUUCUCCCUGGCUUCUGAUCUGCAUAAUCCCAGAGGAGCAUUUGAAGAUACCCGGAAGAGGUGAAGCAGGAGGAAUUUUUGAAUUUUAUUUUAUUAUUAUUAUUUUUUAAUGACAAGUGCAUUUACAGAACUGAGAUGAGCAGGGUUUUCCUGUUCCGAGAACACCAAGCUUGUCUGGGCCAUUCUUCCUGGAAGAACUCCCUGAUUGGUGGCAGAACCCUGAAAAGGGAUCAAGUAAACAGAAUCACAGGUUCCCCUUAACACAUAUCCGUGCCUGAGGGACAAACAGUAGUGAGUGAGCGGCUGCAUCUCAAAUGACCACAUGGAUGGUGACAGAAGUUACCACGGCAGAAAUGUGUGGACCACCCCUAGCAUUCCCAAAUAUCCCAUAAUAUUGCUAAGCCUUAGAGAGAGAGUGUGUAUUGUUUUUUUUUUUUAAUACUGCUGUGAUAAAACACCAUGACCGAAGCAACUUACAGAAGAAAGGCUUUAUUCGGGCUCACGGUUCCAGAGGGAUAUGUCUUCGUUACAGUGGGGAAGCUGGGAGCAAACCACAGGCAUGAUGGGAUGAGCAGGAAGCUGAGGGCUCACAUCUUGAACAGCAAGCGUGAAGCACAGUGUGUGGAACUAGAAAUGGUCCAGGUCUUUAAACUCUAAAAGUCUGCCUCUGGUGACACACUUCCUCCAGCAAGGCCAUACCUCCUAAGCCUCCCCAAACAGUGCCACCGACUGGGGACCAAGUGUUCAAUUGCCUGAGGCUGUGGGAGACAUUUUCAUUCAAACAGGCACCAGAGAGUGCACUGCAGACUGAACUUCAGUUUCUCACCAGUUCUGCAGAAGGGAGACUGGGUGUCAGAAGUCACACUAGAGACAGAAGAUAAUGUUUAUGUACAUCUAGUUUUUGCAAUGGGGCUUGUACUCCAUGAAUGAAAAGGGGGGGCAUGGCAUCUCAGGAAAGAUCCUCUAAUAACAUGGAGUGACAGAAAGUAGGAAUUGCCUAUGAGCCUCUCUCGAUUCGUAUGUUCAAGACCCUAGGCCUCUAGAAGAGGUAGGUAGAUGUAAAGAUUCAAAAAAAGAUAGAUAGACAGAUGGUAGAUAGAUAUAUGAUAGAUAGAUAGAUAGAUAGAUAGAUGAUAGAUGGAUAGAUAAAUAGAUAGAUAGGUAGGUAGAGUGUUGUAGGCAUAGUUCGAGUAAAAGCUAAUCUGAUACAAGCAUAUGUCAGUGUUCUGGUUUGGGAGAACGUGUCUCUCCAAACUUACAUGGAGUUUGAAUUCCCAGUGUGACAAUGUUAAGAGGAGGAGCCAUUGCAGAAGUGGUCAGCUUUGAGAACUCAGUUCUCAUAAAUGGUAUUACUGUCCUUAUAGAAGGCUGGGGGAAGGGAGUCAAUUUCUUUUUGCCUUCUCAACUCCAUGAAGACACAAAAAGUACCAUCUAUGAUAAACAGGCCAUCAGUGGACAUCUACUCUGCUGGCACCAUGAUCUUGAACUUCCAAGCCUCCAGAACUUUGGAACCAGGUGAAAGGAAACAUCUGGGGAAACUUCCAAGGGACCUUCAAGGGACAGUUUCAGAAACAUGGCAUUGGUAUGGACACAGAGGAGGAGCGUUUAAUGCUGUGAUGGAUGUGUCUUAGGAGUGUCACCUACCUGUGACACUUGUGUUCAUUCACACCAGUCAAUGACUUCUUUGUGGCAAGAGGGAAGAGGUGCCAGACAUUUGGCAGAGCUCACUAGGAAGGAGUUCCAAGAACACAGGUCCCACAUGGCUAGGCUGGCACCAAAGGAGGCAGCUGUGGCCCUGACAGACUGAGGAGAUGCAGAACUCUGAGGACCACCUAACGAAUUCUUAGUCCUGGAAUGUUCAUUUGUAAGUGGCAAAUCAUGU
Non-coding RNA from Peromyscus maniculatus bairdii (prairie deer mouse), 2028 nucleotides. Lineage: Eukaryota; Metazoa; Chordata; Mammalia; Rodentia; Cricetidae. The record is from RefSeq and is a predicted model, not a curated record.